RNAcentral lists this ribosomal RNA (446 nucleotides) under uncultured bacterium. RNAcentral's name for it is "SSU rRNA". It matches the Rfam family "Bacterial small subunit ribosomal RNA", at positions 26 to 518 of the family's 1533-position model. The record is from RNAcentral.
AGAAUGAACGCUGGCGGCAUGCCUAACACAUGCAAGUCGAACGAAGCCUUCGGGCUUAGUGGCGCACGGGUGCGUAACGCGUGGGAAUCUGCCCCUCGGUUCGGAAUAACAGUUAGAAAUGACUGCUAAUACCGGAUGAUGACGAAAGUCCAAAGAUUUAUCGCCGAGGGAUGAGCCCGCGUAGGAUUAGCUAGUUGGUGAGGUAAAAGCUCACCAAGGCGACGAUCCUUAGCUGGUCUGAGAGGAUGAUCAGCCACACUGGGACUGAGACACGGCCCAGACUCCUACGGGAGGCAGCAGUGGGGAAUAUUGGACAAUGGGCGAAAGCCUGAUCCAGCAAUGCCGCGUGAGUGAUGAAGGCCUUAGGGUUGUAAAGCUCUUUUACCAGGGAUGAUAAUGACAGUACCUGGAGAAUAAGCUCCGGCUAACUCCGUGCCAGCAGCCGC